This 249-nucleotide ribosomal RNA is filed under the name uncultured Rhodocyclaceae bacterium. Its description in RNAcentral is "partial 16S ribosomal RNA". It matches the Rfam family "Bacterial small subunit ribosomal RNA", at positions 796 to 1041 of the family's 1533-position model. The record is from RNAcentral. Lineage: Bacteria; Pseudomonadati; Pseudomonadota; Betaproteobacteria; Rhodocyclales; Rhodocyclaceae.
CACGCCCUAAACGAUGUCAACUAGGUGUUGGGAGGGUAAAACCUUUUAGUACCGGAGCUAACGCGUGAAGUUGACCGCCUGGGGAGUACGGCCGCAAGGUUAAAACUCAAAGGAAUUGACGGGGACCCGCACAAGCGGUGGAUGAUGUGGAUUAAUUCGAUGCAACGCGAAAAACCUUACCUACCCUUGACAUGUCCAGAAGCUCUUAGAGAUUUGAGUGUGCCCGAAAGGGAACUGGAACACAGGUGC